AUGCACUGCAUCCGGGCCCCCACCGCGUGCCCCGCCUCGUUGGGCCCGGUGUGUGCGUGUGUUGGGCAGGGACGCUGGCUGGGAGCCUGGGGUGGGGGGCUCUGUUCCUUUCCUGGGGGCGGUGCUGGGGGUGAGGGGGAGGCCACCGUGGACAGAGGGGGCUUUGUUCGUGAGUCCGAUGGGGGAGCUGGGCUCGGCCCUGACAAAGAGCCAUCUGUGUCUGGGGGACGUGCCCCCAGCGCGCCGGAACAGGCCCCCUCCAUCGCAGGGGCCUCAGCCUGUCGGCACCCCUCACCCAGCGGGCGCAGACGGCCUCAUCCUGCCUCCCGCCAGGCUCCCCUUGGCCCGGGGCAGCUGAACCCCAGCCUGCUGCUGCCAGUCGGUUCAGGCCCGGGGACACUUCCAGAGCCUGAGUCCCCAGCAGAACGUCCUCGGCUUUUCCUGCUGCUGAGGGUGUGCUGGAGCAGCGGCUCACGCUUGGGGCGCCGGGCUGGGCCAGCCUGGUCCCCACCCCCACCCUGGGGGACAUGCCGGGGCUCCCUCUGCGCUGUCACACCAGCCAGACUGGUCAGGAGCACGGGCCGGACCAGGCAGUGGCCGGCAGGUUCCCCCUUCAGGAGAGCCUCUGGGCCUGCGCCCCAGCUUCCUGGCCCGGGGUCCCUCCCUCCAGCCACAGGCCCCCCCACUCCUCCUCGGGGCUCCGGCUGUAGGCCAGGCACACGGGCCUCGACCCUCCGCCUGCCCUGCCCUCAGCCAUCACGACCACCGGGUGGGACCCUUCGCGUCUCGGAAACGAGUCCACUCAGAACCGCCCGCCUCGGAGGACCGCGUCCGAGCCAGGCCGCCCCUGGCCCCCGAAGCUUGGCUUUUACAGGCCCAAGGAAGCUCGGUCUUACGGAGCUGUCACUUCUCAGACCGGUCUGUAGGUCCAAUACAGCCCCACUGAAAACCCCGAGUGUGUCUGUGACGUCUGUGAGAGGUACUCGGGGAGGGACGGCCCCGGGCGGCCAAGUCCGGGGGAAGCUGCCCGGGAGCAGGUGCGCUCUGCUGGGCUCCUACAGGUGCCGCCGUAAGCUCGCACCUGGUGGCUGGGGAAGCGCGGCCCAGCGGCCCGGCCGUAGGUGGGCAGGGGGCGCGGGGCCGUCGGCGAGGUCCAUCUCCCAUGGGCGGCCUCUGUGA
RNAcentral lists this long non-coding RNA (1179 nucleotides) under Vulpes vulpes (red fox). RNAcentral describes it as "lncRNA (ENSVVUG00000006294.1)". The record is from RNAcentral. Lineage: Eukaryota; Metazoa; Chordata; Mammalia; Carnivora; Canidae.